GAAAGACGGAAAAUGUGGAAGCGGAGGAAGGCAGCCGGAUGGACAUGACGUGUGUGGCCUCUGGUAAGCCUGCUCCGGAGAUUAAGUGGUGGAAAUACGAGGCAUUCAAGGAUUUCCAGCUCAUAUUGCCAAACGACCGAUACACUCUGACGAAGAAAGAUAUGGAUGAGGAAGUACUCGGCACGUUGAGUGUAACAAAUGUCAGUCCAGCUGAUUCGGGCCAGUACGUGUGCACUGCCAUCAACCAGCACGGCAGUGUGCGGGGAAAUAUCUUCCUGCAGGUUAAUACACCAGUUACACAAAUAAUCCCAAACCCACGGAUGGUGGUCCACCCACGGGAUACAAUGGCAAAGAGAGGUGAAUCGACGAGUUUAGACUGCUUGGCACGGGGAGAGCCCAGACCUACAAUCAACUGGUAUAAAGACGG
Molecule: long non-coding RNA, 427 nt
Organism: Liolophura sinensis
Lineage: Eukaryota; Metazoa; Mollusca; Polyplacophora; Chitonida; Chitonidae
Exons: 3
Source: RefSeq, a predicted model, not a curated record